GAUGAACGCUGGCGGCGUGCUUAACACAUGCAAGUCGAGCGAAGCACUCUGUCCGGAUUCUUUCGGGAUGACGGACUUAGUGACUGAGCGGCGGACGGGUGAGUAACGCGUGGGUAACCUGCCUCAUACAGGGGGAUAACAGUUAGAAAUGACUGCUAAUACCGCAUAAGACCACAGUACCGCAUGGUACAGGGGUAAAACUCCGGUGGUAUGAGAUCGGACCCGCGUCUGAUUAGCUGGUUGGUGGGUAACGCCUACAAGCGACGAUCAGUAGCCGCCUGAGAGGGCGACGGCACAUUGGGACUGAGACACGGCCCAAACUCCGUAACGGGAGGCAGCAGGUGGGGAAUAUGCACAAGUGGGGGAAACCCUGAUGCAGCGACGCCGCGU
Molecule: ribosomal RNA, 390 nt
Filed under: uncultured bacterium
Lineage: Bacteria
Description: bacterial SSU rRNA
Rfam family: Bacterial small subunit ribosomal RNA
Source: RNAcentral